CUACCUGAGCCCAAUUCAAAUAUUUUCCUUACACAAGUUCCAUUAUAUCCUCACUUUCUCUUGCAAUUAUAAUUUAGUCCCCGAAAUAGACUAUAAAUAAGGGGCGUGUAACCAAAUCAGUUAGAUUUCCUGAAUGCAUGUUGAAUUCAUCCUCCUCAUACCUCUCUCUCUCUCUUCUCUCUUCUCCUUUCUCUAACUCAUCUUCUACCUCCCCUCACUCUUUGAUCAAUCUCUUAAUCCAAUCCUU
This 247-nucleotide long non-coding RNA is filed under the name Ananas comosus (pineapple). RNAcentral's name for it is "long non-coding RNA (ACOM_LNC000546)". The record is from RNAcentral. Lineage: Eukaryota; Viridiplantae; Streptophyta; Magnoliopsida; Poales; Bromeliaceae.